GCGCCCGCGGGGUAGGAGACCUGGAGCUGGAGAACCCGCCCGCCAGAGUCGUAGUAGUGGAUGGGGAGUAGCCGUCCCAUUUUCAACACGUGUCUCAUUCUAAACUGACGUUCUGGUGGGCUGGCCGAAGAAGGAGAAAGACCCGCGGCUCCGACCUCUGACCUCUAACCCCGGACGCACUUUGAUUUCGCCGGCUUGCGCGGAAGGCUGACUCCCUGGGCCGCGGCCUGGCGGGGGAGCCGCCUGUGGGGUGUCCCCGGCGCGGGAGGGUGCUCUGGUUCAGGCCUGCUGCCCAGGUAUGCACAAGUCAAGGCCUUUUCUGCAGACCAAGUAGCCUUCCCUGGAGAGCGCCCCCAGCACCACGGAAACUAUCUAUAUGCCCCGCGGUGGUCAGCCCGCCUUAUCCCAGCCCCGAGACCCAAAACAAGAAGCAUGGACUGAAUUUGAGGUUUCUGGAUGGUCGUGUGAACCGAGGGGACGGGUACUGGACUGACAAGAAAUGAGCCUUGAAGGUCAAUCUGGGUGACACCCGAGUCUCCUGAUGGAGUUUCACUAUGUUGCCCAGGCUGAUCUGGAACUCCUGACCUCAAGCAAUCCACCUGCCUCAGCCUCCCAAAGUACUGGGAUUACAGGAGGGAGCCACCGUGCCCGGCCUGGUCCUGUGCAUUUUAUAGAUAAGGUAACUGACAAACCUAGCCACAGUCACCCCUUCGCCCUAAAGGAGAACUGGAAUUUGAACCCAGAGCCUUGUUCACCACCACCUCCGUUGUUUCUGGAAGCACCCUCCAGGCAGGCCAGCCAGCAUCACGGGGCCUCCCCUGGGGCUGGAACGUCUGCAGGAUGCCCCUUUGGGAAAUGCUGUUCCACAGAACCCUGCCUUUCAGGCCUUGGAGACGUGGGCAGGGGAGAAGCAGCGUCCCUCAGAGCCAGGCCUGGCAGUGGUGCCAGCAGGGGCCGAGGCCCAGGGAGCAGGGUCUCCUGUCGGAGGGACCUGGGCAAGCCCUUCCACGUGCCAGCGGGUUUCUCAGCAGGGGAGGUCCACACCACACCGCCUGGGAACCUGGGUGCCUAAACGCAACAGGAGCCAAGGCACAAAUUUAACCAAACACCAAGGUUGCGUGAGGCCCCAAUUCAUGAGCCGGGCUCCAAGGACGUGUCCUUAGGCGGCUCUGGAAGGCCCAGCGCCAGCCCCCGUCCUCUGUUAAAGGGAGCCAGCCCCGCGGCUCCGCCCGGGCAUGGUAGCCUGAGCACACCCCCAGGGUAGUAGGGGGCACCUGAAGAGCAGGGUCUGCCCUGGCAUGAGCAGAGCCCAGUUUGGGGUCAGGGUCAGGCCCUGCCAGAGGCUGGAGGGUGCCCAAGGCGAGGCCGGUGAGGCCCAGCUCUACAAAUAAAGUGUUUUAUUUACAGGA
This 1409-nucleotide non-coding RNA is filed under the name Pan troglodytes (chimpanzee). The record is from RNAcentral. Lineage: Eukaryota; Metazoa; Chordata; Mammalia; Primates; Hominidae.